Molecule: ribosomal RNA, 357 nt
Filed under: uncultured bacterium
Lineage: Bacteria
Description: bacterial SSU rRNA
Rfam family: Bacterial small subunit ribosomal RNA
Source: RNAcentral
ACCGGGACUUCGGUCCCGGGGAAAGCGGCGAACGGGUGAGUAACACGUGGGUAAUCUGCCCUCGGCACUGGGAUAGCCCGGGGAAACCCGGAUUAAUACCGGAUAGUCUUUCGAGCCUUCGGGCUCGUCAGGAAAGGUGGCUUCGGCUUCCGGCUGAGGAUGAGCCCGCGGCGGAUUAGCUUGUUGGUGAGGUAAUGGCUCACCAAGGCUCCGAUCUGUAGCUGGUCUGAGAGGACGAUCAGCCACACUGGGACUGAGACACGGCCCAGACUCCUACGGGAGGCAGCAGUAGGGAAUCUUGCGCAAUGGGCGAAAGCCUGACGCAGCGACGCCGCGUGCGGGAAGAAGGCCUUCGGG